Molecule: ribosomal RNA, 440 nt
Filed under: uncultured bacterium
Lineage: Bacteria
Description: bacterial SSU rRNA
Rfam family: Bacterial small subunit ribosomal RNA
Source: RNAcentral
CCUACGGGGGGCAGCAGUGGGGAAUAUUGCACAAUGGGGGAAACCCUGAUGCAGCGACGCCGCGUGAAGGAUGAAGGUUUUCGGAUCGUAAACUUCUAUCAGCAGGGAAGAUAGUGACAGUACCUGACUAAGAAGCCCCGGCUAACUACGUGCCAGCAGCCGCGGUAAUACGUAGGGGGCAAGCGUUAUCCGGAUUUACUGGGUGUAAAGGGUGCGUAGGCGGCAAGGUAAGCCAGAUGUGAAAGCCCGAAGCUCAACUUCGGGACUGCAUUUGAAUCUGCCUUGCUAGAGUGCAGGAGAGGAAAGUGGAAUUCCUAGUGUAGCGGUGAAAUGCGUAGAUAUUAGGAGGAACACCAGUGGCGAAGGCGACUUUCUGGACUGUGACUGACGCUGAGGCACGAAAGCGUGGGGAGCGAACAGGAUUAGAUACCCUAGUAGUC